GAUGAAGAACGUAGCGAAAUGCGAUACUUGGUGUGAAUUGCAGAAUCCCGUGAACCAUCGAGUCUUUGAACGCAAGUUGCGCCCGAAGCCAUUAGGCCGAGGGCACGCCUGCCUGGGCGUCACACGUCGUUGCCCCCCCAUCUAAUCCUUCGGGAUUGCGGGGGGCGGAUGAUGGCCUCCCGUGCGCCUCGUCGCGCGGUUGGCAUAAAUGCCAAGUCCUCGGCGACGCACGCCACGACAAUCGGUGGUUGCGAAACCUCGGUUGCCCGUUGUGUGCGGUCGUCGCGCAUCGAGGGCUCGAAAAAAUUGCCGGGCUCCGGCUCGGCUUUCAACGCGACCCCAGGUCAGGCGGGGUUACCCGCUGAAUUUAAGCAUAUCAAUAAGCGGAGGA
RNAcentral lists this unclassified non-coding RNA (391 nucleotides) under soil metagenome. Its description in RNAcentral is "partial contains 5.8S ribosomal RNA, internal transcribed spacer 2, and large subunit ribosomal RNA". The stretch from base 1 to 122 matches the Rfam family "5.8S ribosomal RNA", at positions 35 to 154 of the family's 154-position model. The record is from RNAcentral.